UGGGGAAUAUUGGACAAUGGGCGAAAGCCUGAUCCAGCCAUGCCGCGUGUGUGAAGAAGGUCUUCGGAUUGUAAAGCACUUUAAGUUGGGAGGAAGGGCAGUAAGCGAAUACCUUGCUGUUUUGACGUUACCGACAGAAUAAGCACCGGCUAACUCUGUGCCAGCAGCCGCGGUAAUACAGAGGGUGCAAGCGUUAAUCGGAAUUACUGGGCGUAAAGCGCGCGUAGGUGGUUCGUUAAGUUGAAUGUGAAAGCCCCGGGCUCAACCUGGGAAAUGCAGCCAAAACUGGCGAGCUAGAGUAGGGCAGAGGGUGGUGGAAUUUCCUGUGUAGCGGUGAAAUGCGUAGAUAUAGGAAGGAACACCAGUGGCGAAGGCGACCACCUGGGCUCAUACUGACACUGAGGUGCGAAAGCGUGGGGAGCAAACAGG
RNAcentral lists this ribosomal RNA (429 nucleotides) under Pseudomonadota bacterium. Its description in RNAcentral is "Proteobacteria bacterium partial 16S ribosomal RNA". It matches the Rfam family "Bacterial small subunit ribosomal RNA", at positions 355 to 776 of the family's 1533-position model. The record is from RNAcentral. Lineage: Bacteria; Pseudomonadati; Pseudomonadota.